RNAcentral lists this ribosomal RNA (279 nucleotides) under uncultured bacterium. Its description in RNAcentral is "partial 16S ribosomal RNA". It matches the Rfam family "Bacterial small subunit ribosomal RNA", at positions 506 to 784 of the family's 1533-position model. The record is from RNAcentral.
UGCCAGCCGCCGCGGUAAUACGGAGGGUGCAAGCGUUAUUCGGAAUCACUGGGCUUAAAGAGUACGUAGGCUGUCUUGUAGGUGAGGUGUGAAAUCCCACGGCUCAACCGUGGAACUGCGCUUCAAACCACAAGACUUGAGGGAGACAGGGGUAAGCGGGACUGAUGGUGGAGCGGUGAAAUGCGUUGAUAUCAUCAGGAACACCGGUGGCGAAGGCGGCUUACUGGGUCUCUUCUGACGCUGAGGUACGAAAGCUAGGGUAGCGAACGGGAUUAGAUA